GGCAAAAGGCAAAAGCAAAGUCCGU
This 25-nucleotide non-coding RNA is filed under the name Rattus norvegicus (Norway rat). The record is from RNAcentral. Lineage: Eukaryota; Metazoa; Chordata; Mammalia; Rodentia; Muridae.